This 61-nucleotide transfer RNA is filed under the name Lactococcus cremoris. Its description in RNAcentral is "tRNA-OTHER". It matches the Rfam family "tRNA". From Rfam's summary of the family: Transfer RNA (tRNA) molecules are approximately 80 nucleotides in length. The record is from RNAcentral. Lineage: Bacteria; Bacillati; Bacillota; Bacilli; Lactobacillales; Streptococcaceae. RNAcentral also lists the same sequence under 1 other name.
GGUUCUUUAGCUCAGUUGGAAGUUAACCGUUCGGUCGCUGGUUCGAGUCCAGCAAGAACCA